Molecule: transfer-messenger RNA, 346 nt
Filed under: Eubacteriales
Lineage: Bacteria; Bacillati; Bacillota; Clostridia
Also listed under: 1 other name
Description: HGM12619 sp902783255 Standard tmRNA
Rfam family: transfer-messenger RNA
About the family: Bacterial tmRNA, also known as 10Sa RNA or SsrA, is named for its dual tRNA and mRNA-like properties. Its role is to liberate the mRNA from a stalled ribosome.
Source: RNAcentral
GGGGGCGUACCGGAUUUCGACGGGGAUUUUGAGGCCGGAUAAGCGAGCAGCGCGCAGACCGCUAUAACCUGCAAACUUUAAAAUUAAACGCUAAUAGAACAGAAUUAGCUGCUGCCUAACUAAAGGCGGCCGUCUCUUCCGCGAGUACCGCGGCGCGGAAAGAGGCGUCGAUUUGCGGUGAACGUUAACCAGGCAAUUGCCGUAGCCCGGUAACGGAAAACGGCAUGUUCCUUCCAAAGCUUUGCAUGCUGUGCUCUGAAAGGCGAAAACGAACAACACGCUACGCUCGUAGAAAGUCCCGCGGAUGAGUUUUCGGACAGGGGUUCAACUCCCCUCGCCUCCACCA